UGUGUGUGUUAGUGGAAGCGUCUGGAAAGGCGUGCGAUACAGGGUGACAGCCCCGUACACAAAAAUGCACAUGCUGUGAGCUCGAUGAGUAGGGCGGGACACGUGGUAUCCUGUCUGAAUAUGGGGGGACCAUCCUCCAAGGCUAAAUACUCCUGACUGACCGAUAGUGAACCAGUACCGUGAGGGAAAGGCGAAAAGAACCCCGGCGAGGGGAGUGAAAAAGAACCUGAAACCGUGUACGUACAAGCAGUGGGAGCACAGAGCAAUCUGUGUGACUGCGUACCUUUUGUAUAAUGGGUCAGCGACUUAUAUUCUGUAGCAAGGUUAACCGAAUAGGGGAGCCGAAGGGAAACCGAGUCUUAACUGGGCGUUAAGUUGCAGGGUAUAGACCCGAAACCCGGUGAUCUAGCCAUGGGCAGGUUGAAGGUUGGGUAACACUAACUGGAGGACCGAACCGACUAAUGUUGAAAAAUUAGCGGAUGACUUGUGGCUGGGGGUGAAAGGCCAAUCAAACCGGGAGAUAGCUGGUUCUCCCCGAAAGCUAUUUAGGUAGCGCCUCGUGAAUUCAUCUCCGGGGGUAGAGCACUGUUUCGGCAAGGGGGUCAUCCCGACUUACCAACCCGAUGCAAACUGCGAAUACCGGAGAAUGUUAUCACGGGAGACACACGGCGGGUGCUAACGUCCGUCGUGAAGAGGGAAACAACCCAGACCGCCAGCUAAGGUCCCAAAGUCAUGGUUAAGUGGGAAACGAUGUGGGAAGGCCCAGACAGCCAGGAUGUUGGCUUAGAAGCAGCCAUCAUUUAAAGAAAGCGUAAUAGCUCACUGGUCGAGUCGGCCUGCGCGGAAGAUGUAACGGGGCUAAACCAUGCACCGAAGCUGCGGCAGCGACGCUUAUGCGUUGUUGGGUAGGGGAGCGUUCUGUAAGCCUGCGAAGGUGUGCUGUGAGGCAUGCUGGAGGUAUCAGAAGUGCGAAUGCUGACAUAAGUAACGAUAAAGCGGGUGAAAAGCCCGCUCGCCGGAAGACCAAGGGUUCCUGUCCAACGUUAAUCGGGGCAGGGUGAGUCGACCCCUAAGGCGAGGCCGAAAGGCGUAGUCGAUGGGAAACAGGUUAAUAUUCCUGUACUUGGUGUUACUGCGAAGGGGGGACGGAGAAGGCUAUGUUGGCCGGGCGACGGUUGUCCCGGUUUAAGCGUGUAGGCUGGUUUUCCAGGCAAAUCCGGAAAAUCAAGGCUGAGGCGUGAUGACGAGGCACUACGGUGCUGAAGCAACAAAUGCCCUGCUUCCAGGAAAAGCCUCUAAGCAUCAGGUAACAUCAAAUCGUACCCCAAACCGACACAGGUGGUCAGGUAGAGAAUACCAAGGCGCUUGAGAGAACUCGGGUGAAGGAACUAGGCAAAAUGGUGCCGUAACUUCGGGAGAAGGCACGCUGAUAUGUAGGUGAAGUCCCUCGCGGAUGGAGCUGAAAUCAGUCGAAGAUACCAGCUGGCUGCAACUGUUUAUUAAAAACACAGCACUGUGCAAACACGAAAGUGGACGUAUACGGUGUGACGCCUGCCCGGUGC
RNAcentral lists this ribosomal RNA (1562 nucleotides) under Escherichia coli. Its description in RNAcentral is "partial 23S ribosomal RNA". It matches the Rfam family "Bacterial large subunit ribosomal RNA", at positions 321 to 1869 of the family's 2925-position model. The record is from RNAcentral. Lineage: Bacteria; Pseudomonadati; Pseudomonadota; Gammaproteobacteria; Enterobacterales; Enterobacteriaceae.